Long non-coding RNA from Plectropomus leopardus (leopard coralgrouper), 422 nucleotides. RefSeq lists it as uncharacterized. NCBI's taxonomy places the organism in Eukaryota, Metazoa, Chordata, Actinopteri, Perciformes, Serranidae. The record is from RefSeq and is a predicted model, not a curated record.
CAGUUACUGCCCUACAAACAGUUAUUAUGUCAAUACUUUUCCUCGCUGGUCUGUAGCACGCUCAGUAGUCAUGUUAGUAACUGUGUCAACAGAUUUCAACUCGUCUCCUUCCAAAAGGCAAAAUGAGGGAUGGGCACACAACACGUCAUCCAACUUUACAUAAAAUGGGAGCUGCCUAUAACAAAUAUGCACGUGCUGAACCCACUAAGUACCUACCAGACGCCCACUGAGACCCCCUCCUCUGUGUCGAGGUAGAAGUUGCAUGUGUGGUUCAGCACGUCUUCAGGUCUGCUGAGAUCCACCAUGAAUGGAAAACUUACUGCAGCAGGCAAGAAAACAAACGAAUCCAAAGGAGUGGACGAAGAUGGUGACCAGCGACAGAACCAUCACAUGACGCCACAGAGGUGUGGGGCGUGUAGCCG